CCUACGGGUGGCAGCAGUGAGGAAUAUUGGUCAAUGGGCUUACGCCUGAACCAGCCAAGUCGCGUGAGGGAAGACUGCCCUAUGGGUUGUAAACCUCUUUUGUCAGGGAGCAACGCCGGCUACGUGUAGCCGGACUUAGAGUACCUGCAGACAAAGCAUCGGCUAACUCCGUGCCAGCCGCCGCGGUAAUACGGAGGAUGCGAGCGUUAUCCGGAUUUAUUGGGUUUAAAGGGUGCGUAGGCGGAAUGCCAAGUCAGCGGUAAAAUCGCGGGGCUCAACCUCGCUCCGCCGUUGAAACUGGCGUGCUGGAGUGGGCGAGAAGUAUGCGGAAUGCGUGGUGUAGCGGUGAAAUGCAUAGAUAUCACGCAGAACUCCGAUUGCGAAGGCAGCAUACCGGCGCCCAACUGACGCUGAAGCACGAAAGCGUGGGUAUCGAACAGGAUUAGAUACCCUGGUAGUC
This 460-nucleotide ribosomal RNA is filed under the name uncultured bacterium. RNAcentral describes it as "partial 16S ribosomal RNA". It matches the Rfam family "Bacterial small subunit ribosomal RNA", at positions 338 to 795 of the family's 1533-position model. The record is from RNAcentral.